CCUAACUCUUACUGGAAGUUGCUCUGGAUAAGAGCAUCUCCUAAAUGACUCAAA
Non-coding RNA from Salmo salar (Atlantic salmon), 54 nucleotides. The record is from Rfam. Lineage: Eukaryota; Metazoa; Chordata; Actinopteri; Salmoniformes; Salmonidae.